This 247-nucleotide long non-coding RNA is filed under the name Medicago truncatula (barrel medic). RNAcentral's name for it is "long non-coding RNA (MTRU_LNC000565)". Lineage: Eukaryota; Viridiplantae; Streptophyta; Magnoliopsida; Fabales; Fabaceae. The record is from RNAcentral.
AAAAAUAACCAAAAACAUACUUCUUCUCCCUCCAUUCUUUCACUUAGAUUUUUAGGUAAUAAUUUUUCAAGUAAGCAAAUGAAUUUAGCACAAGAUAAUCUAGGUAAGAGGUUCCUAUGGGAUACCAUAGACGCUUAGGGUGCUAGCACCUUCCCUUCGCGUAACCAACCCCCAAAUCCAAAGUCUUAAGGGUUUUUACUCAUUUUUUCCCUUCCCACGAAUAAAAAUCGAGAGUUCAGAGAUUGAC